CCUACGGGAGGCAGCAGUGGGGAAUUUUGGACAAUGGGCGCAAGCCUGAUCCAGCAAUGCCGCGUGAGUGAAGAAGGCCUUCGGGUUGUAAAGCUCUUUUGUCAGGGAAGAAACGGUGAGAGCUAAUAUCUCUUGCUAAUGACGGUACCUGAAGAAUAAGCACCGGCUAACUACGUGCCAGCAGCCGCGGUAAUACGUAGGGUGCAAGCGUUAAUCGGAAUUACUGGGCGUAAAGCGUGCGCAGGCGGUUUUGUAAGUCUGUCGUGAAAUCCCCGGGCUCAACCUGGGAAUUGCGAUGGAGACUGCAAGGCUAGAAUCUGGCAGAGGGGGGUAGAAUUCCACGUGUAGCAGUGAAAUGCGUAGAGAUGUGGAGGAACACCGAUGGCGAAGGCAGCCCCCUGGGUCAAGAUUGACGCUCAUGCACGAAAGCGUGGGGAGCAAACAGGAUUAGAUACCCUGGUAGUCCACGCCCUAAACGAUGUCUACUAGUUGUCGGGUUUUAAUAACUUGGUAACGCAGCUAACGCGUGAAGUAGACCGCCUGGGGAAGUCGGUCGCAAGAUUAAAACUUAAAUGAAUUGACCGGNGUUGAGAGNGCGACGGACGACGACGAGGGAGGAGG
This 621-nucleotide ribosomal RNA is filed under the name uncultured bacterium. Its description in RNAcentral is "bacterial SSU rRNA". It matches the Rfam family "Bacterial small subunit ribosomal RNA", at positions 338 to 954 of the family's 1533-position model. The record is from RNAcentral.